Molecule: transfer-messenger RNA, 476 nt
Filed under: Candidatus Roizmanbacteria bacterium
Lineage: Bacteria; Candidatus Roizmaniibacteriota
Rfam family: transfer-messenger RNA
About the family: Bacterial tmRNA, also known as 10Sa RNA or SsrA, is named for its dual tRNA and mRNA-like properties. Its role is to liberate the mRNA from a stalled ribosome.
Source: RNAcentral
GGGGAUGACAAGGUUUCGACGUGAAGUUAUGCACUUUGAUAAAUGGCAAGAGCGCACCUAUGCGUUAAAUGGAAAACUCUAACUGCAAAAGAAACAUUCUUAGCAGAUCUUAAAAAGUUUGCAGCGGCAGAACUAGGCAAACUUGCAGGUCAACUUGAAGCUUCACAGCCUCAAUUUGCAUUUGCAGGAGCUUACACUGCUUAAGCUUUCUUUUUAGGCUUUCUCAUUGAACGACCUCCGAUAGUUCUUUGAGGUACAACCUUCGGGGUACGAUCCUAAUCUUAGUUCUCGAUCUAUUUUAGGAUUCGACAAGAAACAAAAUCGGCAGCCUGACGGUGGUUCGUACACUUCCCGCACCAGGCACGAAGAAAAAGUAUACUACCUCUUCGGCCAUAGGCCGAUCGUCCUCUGGACGAUGCUAAACAUUUUUUAUUGUGCCUUUGCGGACCCGGGUUCGACUCCCGGCAUCUCCACUU